RNAcentral lists this unclassified non-coding RNA (232 nucleotides) under fungal sp. Its description in RNAcentral is "partial internal transcribed spacer region". The stretch from base 1 to 46 matches the Rfam family "Eukaryotic small subunit ribosomal RNA", at positions 1786 to 1831 of the family's 1831-position model. Lineage: Eukaryota; Fungi. The record is from RNAcentral.
AAGUCGUAACAAGGUUUCCGUAGGUGAACCUGCGGAAGGAUCAUUAACACUUUUUAUUAUUUUGUUUUUUUUCUAAAACAAAAUUUAAAACCCCACAAUUUUGGAUGAAUUUAAUUAAUUUAUUUUUUUUUUUAUUUUUUUUUUAUUAUAACCCUAUUAUUUUGACUAACAUUUUUAUUUAAUUAUUAAAAAAUUAAAAAAACAACUCUUAACAACGGAUAUCUUGGCUCUC